This 448-nucleotide ribosomal RNA is filed under the name Neisseria elongata. RNAcentral's name for it is "bacterial SSU rRNA". It matches the Rfam family "Bacterial small subunit ribosomal RNA", at positions 54 to 491 of the family's 1533-position model. Lineage: Bacteria; Pseudomonadati; Pseudomonadota; Betaproteobacteria; Neisseriales; Neisseriaceae. The record is from RNAcentral.
CAUGCAAGUCCGACGGCAGCGGGGUAGUGCUUGCACUACUGCCGGCGAGUGGCGAACGGGUGAGUAAUAUAUUGGAACGUACCGAGUAAUGGGGGAUAACCAAUCGAAAGAUUGGCUAAUACCGCAUACGCUCUGAGGAGGAAAGCAGGGGACCUUCGGGCCUUGCGUUAUUCGAGCGGCCAAUAUCUGAUUAGCUAGUUGGUGGGGUAAAGGCCUACCAAGGCGACGAUCAGUAGCGGGUCUGAGAGGAUGAUCCGCCACACUGGGACUGAGACACGGCCCAGACUCCUACGGGAGGCAGCAGUGGGGAAUUUUGGACAAUGGGCGCAAGCCUGAUCCAGCCAUGCCGCGUGUCUGAAGAAGGCCUUCGGGUUGUAAAGGACUUUUGUUAGGGAAGAAAAAGGAGCGGUUAAUACCCGUUUCUGCUGACGGUACCUAAAGAAUAAGC